Molecule: ribosomal RNA, 440 nt
Filed under: uncultured bacterium
Lineage: Bacteria
Description: partial 16S ribosomal RNA
Rfam family: Bacterial small subunit ribosomal RNA
Source: RNAcentral
CCUACGGGAGGCAGCAGUGGGGAAUAUUGCACAAUGGGGGAAACCCUGAUGCAGCGACGCCGCGUGAGUGAGGAAGUAUUUCGGUAUGUAAAGCUCUAUCAGCAGGGAAGAAAAUGACGGUACCUGACUAAGAAGCCCCGGCUAACUACGUGCCAGCAGCCGCGGUAAUACGUAGGGGGCAAGCGUUAUCCGGAUUUACUGGGUGUAAAGGGAGCGUAGACGGCGAAGCAAGUCUGAAGUGAAAGGCCGGGGCUCAACCCCGGGACUGCUUUGGAAACUGUUGAGCUGGAGUGCAGGAGAGGUAAGCGGAAUUCCUAGUGUAGCGGUGAAAUGCGUAGAUAUUAGGAGGAACACCAGUGGCGAAGGCGGCUUACUGGACUGUAACUGACGUUGAGGCUCGAAAGCGUGGGGAGCAAACAGGAUUAGAUACCCCUGUAGUC